AUGGUUCAAAUGGUAGAGCAUCUGCUUAAGAAGCAUAAAGCACUGAGUUCAAAUCCCAGU
This 60-nucleotide transfer RNA is filed under the name Dipodomys ordii (Ord's kangaroo rat). It matches the Rfam family "tRNA", at positions 7 to 64 of the family's 71-position model. From Rfam's summary of the family: Transfer RNA (tRNA) molecules are approximately 80 nucleotides in length. Their secondary structure includes four short double-helical elements and three loops (D, anti-codon, and T loops). The record is from Rfam by way of RNAcentral. Lineage: Eukaryota; Metazoa; Chordata; Mammalia; Rodentia; Heteromyidae.